RNAcentral lists this ribosomal RNA (307 nucleotides) under uncultured eukaryote. RNAcentral describes it as "partial 18S ribosomal RNA". It matches the Rfam family "Eukaryotic small subunit ribosomal RNA", at positions 1470 to 1796 of the family's 1831-position model. The record is from RNAcentral.
CCCUUAGACGUUCUGGGCCGCACGCGCGCUACACUGACGAAGGCAACGAGCUUUCCUUUACCGAAAGGUACGGGUAAUCUUUUGAAACUUCGUCGUGCUGGGGAUAGAUCCUUGCAAUUUUUGAUCUUAAACGAGGAAUGCCUAGUAAGCGCAAGUCAUCAACUUGCGUUGAUUACGUCCCUGCCCUUUGUACACACCGCCCGUCGCUACUACCGAUUGAAUGGUUUAGUGAGGCCUUCGGAUCCGCGACUCGUUUGUGGAGAAGUUGGACAAACUCGGUCAUUUAGAGGAAGUAAAAGUCGUAACA